GAUAAUAAACUAAUAUUUCCAGAAGAAUUCACAUCGAUGGGAAGAUUUUGCACCUAGAUGUUAGCUAUUCACCGCUUGGGCCCGAGCUUUUGGAACGUACUGCCCCAAGGAAUGGGCUAUUCGAAUGGGCUAUUCGACCAUUAAAGUGGUACAUGAGUUGGGUUCAAAACAUCGUGAGGCAGUUU
This 185-nucleotide non-coding RNA is filed under the name Amborella trichopoda. Its description in RNAcentral is "Bacterial large subunit ribosomal RNA". It matches the Rfam family "Bacterial large subunit ribosomal RNA", at positions 2473 to 2632 of the family's 2925-position model. Lineage: Eukaryota; Viridiplantae; Streptophyta; Magnoliopsida; Amborellales; Amborellaceae. The record is from Rfam by way of RNAcentral.